GGGGGAUAUUGCACAAUGGAGGAAACUCUGAUGCAGCAACGCCGCGUGAGGGAAGAAGGUCUUCGGAUUGUAAACCUUUGUCCUUGGUGACGAAACAAAUGACGGUAGCCAAGGAGGAAGCUCCGGCUAACUACGUGCCAGCAGCCGCGGUAAUACGUAGGGAGCGAGCGUUGUCCGGAUUUACUGGGUGUAAAGGGUGCGUAGGCGGCUCUGCAAGUCAGGUGUGAAAACCAUCGGCUUAACUGAUGGACUGCAUUUGAAACUGUGGGGCUUGAGUGGAGUAGAGGCAGACGGAAUUCCCGGUGUAGCGGUGAAAUGCGUAGAGAUCGGGAAGAACACCAGUGGCGAAGGCGGGCUGCUGGGCUCUAACUGACGCUGAGGCACGAAAGCAUGGGGAGCAAAC
Molecule: ribosomal RNA, 403 nt
Filed under: uncultured bacterium
Lineage: Bacteria
Description: bacterial SSU rRNA
Rfam family: Bacterial small subunit ribosomal RNA
Source: RNAcentral